Molecule: ribosomal RNA, 252 nt
Filed under: Goniomonas pacifica
Lineage: Eukaryota; Cryptophyceae; Goniomonadida; Goniomonadaceae
Description: partial Bacterial small subunit ribosomal RNA
Rfam family: Bacterial small subunit ribosomal RNA
Source: RNAcentral
GAGGAAGGUGGGGACGACGUCAAGUCAUCAUGGUCCUUACGCCCAGGGCUACACACGUGCUACAAUGGGAGAUACAGAGGGUAGCUACACGGUAACGUGAUGCCAAUCUCAAAAAGUCUCUCUCAGUUCGGAUUGAGGUCUGCAACUCGACCUCAUGAAGCUGGAAUCGCUAGUAAUCGCGCAUCAGCCAUGGCGCGGUGAAUACGUUCCCGGGCCUUGUACACACCGCCCGUCACACCAUGGAAGUUGGCC